AGAGUUUGAUCCUGGCUCAGGACGAACGCUGGCGGCGUGCCUAAUACAUGCAAGUCGAACGAACUCUGGUAUUGAUUGGUGCUUGCAUCAUGAUUUACAUUUGAGUGAGUGGCGAACUGGUGAGUAACACGUGGGAAACCUGCCCAGAAGCGGGGGAUAACACCUGGAAACAGAUGCUAAUACCGCAUAACAACUUGGACCGCAUGGUCCGAGUUUGAAAGAUGGCUUCGGCUAUCACUUUUGGAUGGUCCCGCGGCGUAUUAGCUAGAUGGUGGGGUAACGGCUCACCAUGGCAAUGAUACGUAGCCGACCUGAGAGGGUAAUCGGCCACAUUGGGACUGAGACACGGCCCAAACUCCUACGGGAGGCAGCAGUAGGGAAUCUUCCACAAUGGACGAAAGUCUGAUGGAGCAACGCCGCGUGAGUGAAGAAGGGUUUCGGCUCGUAAAACUCUGUUGUUAAAGAAGAACAUAUCUGAGAGUAACUGUUCAGGUAUUGACGGUAUUUAACCAGAAAGCCACGGCUAACUACGUGCCAGCAGCCGCGGUAAUACGUAGGUGGCAAGCGUUGUCCGGAUUUAUUGGGCGUAAAGCGAGCGCAGGCGGUUUUUUAAGUCUGAUGUGAAAGCCUUCGGCUCAACCGAAGAAGUGCAUCGGAAACUGGGAAACUUGAGUGCAGAAGAGGACAGUGGAACUCCAUGUGUAGCGGUGAAAUGCGUAGAUAUAUGGAAGAACACCAGUGGCGAAGGCGGCUGUCUGGUCUGUAACUGACGCUGAGGCUCGAAAGUAUGGGUAGCAAACAGGAUUAGAUACCCUGGUAGUCCAUACCGUAAACGAUGAAUGCUAAGUGUUGGAGGGUUUCCGCCCUUCAGUGCUGCAGCUAACGCAUUAAGCAUUCCGCCUGGGGAGUACGGCCGCAAGGCUGAAACUCAAAGGAAUUGACGGGGGCCCGCACAAGCGGUGGAGCAUGUGGUUUAAUUCGAAGCUACGCGAAGAACCUUACCAGGUCUUGACAUACUAUGCAAAUCUAAGAGAUUAGACGUUCCCUUCGGGGACAUGGAUACAGGUGGUGCAUGGUUGUCGUCAGCUCGUGUCGUGAGAUGUUGGGUUAAGUCCCGCAACGAGCGCAACCCUUAUUAUCAGUUGCCAGCAUUAAGUUGGGCACUCUGGUGAGACUGCCGGUGACAAACCGGAGGAAGGUGGGGAUGACGUCAAAUCAUCAUGCCCCUUAUGACCUGGGCUACACACGUGCUACAAUGGAUGGUACAACGAGUUGCGAACUCGCGAGAGUAAGCUAAUCUCUUAAAGCCAUUCUCAGUUCGGAUUGUAGGCUGCAACUCGCCUACAUGAAGUCGGAAUCGCUAGUAAUCGCGGAUCAGCAUGCCGCGGUGAAUACGUUCCCGGGCCUUGUACACA
Molecule: ribosomal RNA, 1415 nt
Filed under: Lactiplantibacillus plantarum
Lineage: Bacteria; Bacillati; Bacillota; Bacilli; Lactobacillales; Lactobacillaceae
Description: bacterial SSU rRNA
Rfam family: Bacterial small subunit ribosomal RNA
Source: RNAcentral